CAACCCUCAAGCUCUGCUUGGUGUUGGGGAUCGGCGUCGCGGCCUUCGGGCUGCUGCCGUCCCCUAAAUCUAGUGGCGGUCCCGCUGUAGCCUCCUCUGCGUAGUAGUUUUCUCCUCGCACUGGCAGCUUAGUGGUGACCUCGCCGUAAAACCCCCAACUUCUGAAAGG
This 169-nucleotide unclassified non-coding RNA is filed under the name uncultured Volutella. Its description in RNAcentral is "sequence contains ITS2". The record is from RNAcentral. Lineage: Eukaryota; Fungi; Ascomycota; Sordariomycetes; Hypocreales; Nectriaceae.